AGAAGUCUGGUUUGGUAGUAGAGCAUUUGCCUGCCAUGCAGAAACCCUAGGUUCAAUCCCUAGUACCUCAA
Molecule: transfer RNA, 71 nt
Filed under: Cavia porcellus (domestic guinea pig)
Lineage: Eukaryota; Metazoa; Chordata; Mammalia; Rodentia; Caviidae
Rfam family: tRNA
About the family: Transfer RNA (tRNA) molecules are approximately 80 nucleotides in length. Their secondary structure includes four short double-helical elements and three loops (D, anti-codon, and T loops). Further hydrogen bonds mediate the characteristic L-shaped molecular structure. tRNAs have two regions of fundamental functional importance: the anti-codon, which is responsible for specific mRNA codon recognition, and the 3' end, to which the tRNAs corresponding amino acid is attached (by aminoacyl-tRNA synthetases). tRNAs cope with the degeneracy of the genetic code in two manners: having more than one tRNA (with a specific anti-codon) for a particular amino acid; and 'wobble' base-pairing, i.e. permitting non-standard base-pairing at the 3rd anti-codon position.
Source: Rfam by way of RNAcentral